This 155-nucleotide ribosomal RNA is filed under the name uncultured bacterium. Its description in RNAcentral is "partial 16S ribosomal RNA". It matches the Rfam family "Bacterial small subunit ribosomal RNA", at positions 378 to 525 of the family's 1533-position model. The record is from RNAcentral.
CAACCCUGAUCCAGCCAUUCCGCGUGAGUGAAGAAGGCCUUCGGGUUGUAAAGCUCUUUCAGCUGGAACGAAACGGUGCGCUCUAACAUAGCGUGCUAAUGACGGUACCAGCAGAAGAAGCACCGGCUAACUACGUGCCAGCAGCCGCGGUAAUA